Non-coding RNA from Paramisgurnus dabryanus, 1498 nucleotides. NCBI's taxonomy places the organism in Eukaryota, Metazoa, Chordata, Actinopteri, Cypriniformes, Cobitidae. The record is from RefSeq and is a predicted model, not a curated record.
AUAAUUCAAUCUGAAUUAUAAAUCUGAAAUGAGUAAACCAAUCGGAGUGUUUAAUUGUAAGCUCCGCCCCUUUUUUGCUUUCGGAUCGCGUCUCAGUUCAGAGGAGAGAUGCAGAGCCACAGAGACACCCGAUCUAACGCGAGAGUGUUUAAUUUGAUUAAAUAUGACUUCUUAGUUCAUAUAAACUGAAGAAAUCAGAACUUAACUUGCAUAUAUUCAAUGAUACAGCGUGAUUGUGUGGAUUGAGCACUUUUUGAGCUUUCAUUUUGACCUGUGUGAUAAAACCACAUGGUGCGUUGUGUUCACUGCUGUUCGCUGACGCCAUUUUGGUUGCACUUGCCUGUGAAAGACAAAAAGAGAGAGAAACACGUGAAUGGACAGGCCAGGUUUUUUCCUUUCGUAUGAACAUUACUUGAGCUGGAUUUUCCUAAUUGAUGGCGAGCCUCCCAUUUCGACUUGAUUGGAUCCCGAAUCUAGAGGAAAGGACAAUUUUCUAUUUUAAAUAUUUUUCUUCAGACAAGAGCACAUUUUUUGUUUGGAAAAAAGCUCACAGAAACUAAAACCAGAUGUAUGCAGCUUUGCCGGGCGUGCAGCACCAGCGUAAACCAGCUAAGACCACUCUUCUAAGCUUUCAGCCUGGUAAAGCUGGUUUUUCGAUCUGAACAGCUAAACGUGGACUCUAAAAACCUCUCUAAAACCAGCCUGCUACACCAGCUAAAACCAAACUGGGAGACCAGGUCAACUGGGUUAGGUCCACGUGCUCAUCUCCACGGAAGCCUUUGCAGAGAAAUGAAACAGUGACUGCAUGUUUGAUCUACAGUCGCCACCCGGUGGUGAUAAAAGUGAAUAGCAUUAAUAGAAAGUAUGACUUCAACAUGUUUUUGGUGGUAUGGUACAGUGCUUUAUAUAGAUUAAUGGUACAGUCUUCUUUAGCUUAAAGGUAAAUAUAACAGUGAAUGAAGAUAAUUCUUAAACUGUGUUUAGAUGUAGUUCAAUAAAGUUCAGAGAAUCAGUGAAGCAAGUUUGAGAGAUUUCUACAUAAAAUCUAUAAUGUAAAAAUAUAAUCUUGAUAUCUUUAAUAAGGUUACAUUUUUUUUAAUAAGGUCUAUAUUUAUAGUUGUAUUAUGUCACAUUUAACCUCCUAAGACCUGGAUGUCACAUGUGGACGUCAAUGUUUUUGUUGUUUGCACCAUAAUACUUAAUUCUGUGUAACUGGAACCUAUUAUACACAAACAUGGACAAAUACACUGGUUCAUGUUCAUAGAAAAAUAUUUGGUUAUUAUAUUAAUUGGUUCCCAAAAAUAGCUGGUAGAAAUCUAAAAAAAAAAAAGGAUUAUUUUGAUGAUGGAUUAUUAUUUAACUUAAUGUCUGUUUUUGACCGACUGCCAGUGUUUAACUUUUUGAUAUGCCUGAAGGAUUUUGGGCAAUGAAAAAACCUUUCGUAUGUAUCAUGCAUUAAAAUAUAUGACCUUUGAUGCUUUUUAAUGAUUUAAGUAAA